GUGCACACUUCAGCAGCACAUAUACUAAAAUUGGGACCAUACAAAGGAAAUUAGCAUGGCCCCUGUGGAAGGAUGACACACAAAUUUGUGAAGUGUUCCAUAUUUUC
Molecule: small nuclear RNA, 107 nt
Organism: Nycticebus coucang (slow loris)
Lineage: Eukaryota; Metazoa; Chordata; Mammalia; Primates; Lorisidae
Source: RefSeq, a predicted model, not a curated record